RNAcentral lists this long non-coding RNA (283 nucleotides) under Elaeis guineensis (African oil palm). RNAcentral describes it as "long non-coding RNA (EGUI_LNC059718)". The record is from RNAcentral. Lineage: Eukaryota; Viridiplantae; Streptophyta; Magnoliopsida; Arecales; Arecaceae.
GUGGCUAUAAAAAGGCCUAGGCACUGGGUGUCCGAUGCAUUCAGAUCGGGCUUCCAAUUUCUCUCUGGUUACUCUCCUUUCUUUCUUACAACCUAUCUUAGUUUUAGCACAAGGCUUUAGAAUUUAAGACAAAGCCUUAUCUGGUCCUAACAAGGGUUGUAAGGGUUCUAAAGAAGGAGAAUCAGAAGUCUAGAGGAGGUUCUGAGAGGGUAGAGUUAGGUUCUUAGAGAAACCUGAUCUGUAUGAGGCUAGUCGAGUUCUAGGGACUAGAACUCUUGAAGCA